UACGGGGGGGGGCAAGCGUUGUUCGGAAUUACUGGGCGUAAAGGGCUCGUAGGUGGCCAACUAAGUCGGACGUGAAAUCCCUCGGCUUAACCGGGGAACUGCGUCUGAUACUGGAUGGCUUGAGUUCGGGAGAGGGAUGCGGAAUUCCAGGUGUAGCGGUGAAAUGCGCAGAUAUCAGGAAGAACACCUAUGGCGAAGGCAGCUCUCUGGGACGGUACUGACGGCUGAGACGCGAAAGCGUGGGGAGCGAAC
RNAcentral lists this ribosomal RNA (252 nucleotides) under uncultured bacterium. RNAcentral's name for it is "partial 16S ribosomal RNA". It matches the Rfam family "Bacterial small subunit ribosomal RNA", at positions 524 to 773 of the family's 1533-position model. The record is from RNAcentral.